Molecule: long non-coding RNA, 110 nt
Organism: Zingiber officinale
Lineage: Eukaryota; Viridiplantae; Streptophyta; Magnoliopsida; Zingiberales; Zingiberaceae
Exons: 3
Source: RefSeq, a predicted model, not a curated record
GUCCAAAAAUGCAUACUCUUGGUGAGUCCUGGAGCAUGGCUGUCAGAUCUCUCAUAGGAGAGGUAUGUAGUCAGGGAGAAGAAGGGAUCAAGAAAGAGGAGAAGAGGAUU